GCUCUCAUGGCGUAGUGGUCACUGCACUCGCCUUGCACGCGGGAGAUCCGGGUUCGAUUCCCGGCGGGGUCA
Molecule: transfer RNA, 72 nt
Filed under: Diaphorina citri (Asian citrus psyllid)
Lineage: Eukaryota; Metazoa; Arthropoda; Insecta; Hemiptera; Psyllidae
Rfam family: tRNA
About the family: Transfer RNA (tRNA) molecules are approximately 80 nucleotides in length. Their secondary structure includes four short double-helical elements and three loops (D, anti-codon, and T loops).
Source: Rfam by way of RNAcentral